This 1415-nucleotide ribosomal RNA is filed under the name Curtobacterium flaccumfaciens. RNAcentral describes it as "bacterial SSU rRNA". It matches the Rfam family "Bacterial small subunit ribosomal RNA". Lineage: Bacteria; Bacillati; Actinomycetota; Actinomycetes; Micrococcales; Microbacteriaceae. The record is from RNAcentral.
ANUUCGCGNCUANCAUGCAAGUCGAACGAUGAUCAGGAAGCUUGCUCCUGUGAUUAGUGGCGAACGGGUGAGUAACACGUGAGUAACCUGCCCCUGACUCUGGGAUAAGCGUUGGAAACGACGUCUAAUACUGGAUAUGAUCACUGGCCGCAUGGUCUGGUGGUGGAAAGAUUUUUUGGUUGGGGAUGGACUCGCGGCCUAUCAGCUUGUUGGUGAGGUAAUGGCUCACCAAGGCGACGACGGGUAGCCGGCCUGAGAGGGUGACCGGCCACACUGGGACUGAGACACGGCCCAGACUCCUACGGGAGGCAGCAGUGGGGAAUAUUGCACAAUGGGCGAAAGCCUGAUGCAGCAACGCCGCGUGAGGGAUGACGGCCUUCGGGUUGUAAACCUCUUUUAGUAGGGAAGAAGCGAAAGUGACGGUACCUGCAGAAAAAGCACCGGCUAACUACGUGCCAGCAGCCGCGGUAAUACGUAGGGUGCAAGCGUUGUCCGGAAUUAUUGGGCGUAAAGAGCUCGUAGGCGGNUUUGUCGCGUCUGCUGUGAAAUCCCGAGGCUCAACCUCGGGNCUUGCAGUGGGUACGGGCAGACUAGAGUGCGGUAGGGGAGAUUGGAAUUCCUGGUGUAGCGGUGGAAUGCGCAGAUAUCAGGAGGAACACCGAUGGCGAAGGCAGAUCUCUGGGCCGUAACUGACGCUGAGGAGCGAAAGCGUGGGGAGCGAACAGGAUUAGAUACCCUGGUAGUCCACGCCGUAAACGUUGGGCGCUAGAUGUAGGGACCUUUCCACGGUUUCUGUGUCGUAGCUAACGCAUUAAGCGCCCCGCCUGGGGAGUACGGCCGCAAGGCUAAAACUCAAAGGAAUUGACGGGGGCCCGCACAAGCGGCGGAGCAUGCGGAUUAAUNUCGAUGCAACGCGAAGAACCUUACCAAGGCUUGACAUACACCGGAAACGGCCAGAGAUGGUCGCCCCCUUGUGGUCGGUGUACAGGUGGUGCAUGGUUGUCGUCAGCUCGUGUCGUGAGAUGUUGGGUUAAGUCCCGCAACGAGCGCAACCCUCGUUCUAUGUUGCCAGCGCGUUAUGGCGGGGACUCAUAGGAGACUGCCGGGGUCAACUCGGAGGAAGGUGGGGAUGACGUCAAAUCAUCAUGCCCCUUAUGUCUUGGGCUUCACGCAUGCUACAAUGGCCGGUACAAAGGGCUGCGAUACCGUAAGGUGGAGCGAAUCCCAAAAAGCCGGUCUCAGUUCGGAUUGAGGUCUGCAACUCGACCUCAUGAAGUCGGAGUCGCUAGUAAUCGCAGAUCAGCAACGCUGCGGUGAAUACGUUCCCGGGCCUUGUACACACCGCCCGUCAAGUCAUGAAAGUCGGUAACACCCGAAGCCGGUGCCUAACCCUUGUGAAGAGCCUCAAGUGUANC